UACAGAGGGUGCGAGCGUUGUUCGGAAUUAUUGGGCGUAAAGGGCGCGUAGGCGGUGCGGUAAGUCACCUGUGAAAUCUCCCGGCUCAACUGGGAGUCUGCAGGCGAAACUGCCGUGCUCGAGUGUGGGAGAGGUGCGUGGAAUUCCCGGUGUAGCGGUGAAAUGCGUAGAGAUCGGAAAGAACACCAACGGCGAAAGCACUCUGCUGGGCCGACACUGACACUGAGAGACGAAAGCUAGGGGAGCGAAUGGG
RNAcentral lists this ribosomal RNA (253 nucleotides) under uncultured prokaryote. Its description in RNAcentral is "partial 16S ribosomal RNA". It matches the Rfam family "Bacterial small subunit ribosomal RNA", at positions 524 to 776 of the family's 1533-position model. The record is from RNAcentral.